This 451-nucleotide ribosomal RNA is filed under the name uncultured Methanomicrobiales archaeon. Its description in RNAcentral is "bacterial SSU rRNA". It matches the Rfam family "Archaeal small subunit ribosomal RNA", at positions 889 to 1338 of the family's 1478-position model. Lineage: Archaea; Methanobacteriati; Methanobacteriota; Methanomicrobia; Methanomicrobiales. The record is from RNAcentral.
UGGAGCCUGCGGUUUAAUCGGACUCAAACGCCGGGAAACUCACCAGAUAAGACAGCUGAAUGAUAGUCGGGCUGAAGACUCUACUUGACUAGCUGAGAGGAGGUGCACGGCCGUCGUCAGUUCGUACUGUGAAGCAUCCUGUUAAGUCAGGCAACGAGCGAGACCCACGCCAACAGUUGCCAGCUCGUCCUCCGGGAUGGUGGGGACACUGUUGGGACCGCCUCUGCUAAAGAGGAGGAAGGAAUGGGCAACGGUAGGUCAGCAUGCCCCGAAUUAUCUGGGCUACACGCGGGCUACAAUGGGUGGGACAAUGGGUAUCGACACCGAAAGGUGAAGGCAAUCUCCUAAACCCAUCCGUAGUUCGGAUUGUGGGCUGCAACUCGCCCACAUGAAGCUGGAAUCUGUAGUAAUCGUGUCUCAAAAUGGCACGGUGAAUAUGUCCCUGCUCCUU